UGGUUUUGGACCCGUGUCUGCCGGUAGAUCCCCCGUCUUUGUGCGGCCGACUACCGGCGCCGUGUCCCGUCGGUUCUGUCGCUUAUGUUACUGUUGCCUUUCAAGUGCUUGCGUGCUGGUACCCGAACUACGGGUAGUGGUGCUCAACACACGUUGCCUCGCGGUGGACACCUUCGGGUGUGCCGCUGCGGCCAAAUGGCGCUUGCGGCGUUGCCUCGUGGCACCGGCACGUUAACUCUGCCGGUGCUAUCAAGGAAACCUUGCUCCCGCUAUUGGUCUCGGAUGUUGCCUACGCUAAAGUCUCUUGGCCCGUUCGGUUGCCUUGACCCGACCCUAAGAAGCUCUCCGAAAAAUUGAGAACAACCGGAACAGGUGUUGCCUCUACCUCUCCACAGUUAGUGGUAGGAUUACGCAACAUUCUGCGCCGAUCCUCAAACUAGUAGGAUGAGCUUAGCCCGCUCAAUCGCGACAACCGGCCCGGCCGUUGCCUCUGCCUUGACACGCAAGUGGAUGGGCGGACAACUUCCGACGCUGGACGUCAAAGA
RNAcentral lists this unclassified non-coding RNA (545 nucleotides) under Poa palustris. RNAcentral's name for it is "partial external transcribed spacer". Lineage: Eukaryota; Viridiplantae; Streptophyta; Magnoliopsida; Poales; Poaceae. The record is from RNAcentral.